UUUUACCCUAAACUCAUAAACACACAUUUAGAGAGACAAAGAGAGACGGAGAGAGAACGACAUGACAGAGAGCCGAUCACCCCAACCCGAUGAAGGUGAUGAUGGUGACGACUCCGACAACCAGAUUGGCAACGAUGGCAGCUAGGGUUCCAGUUUGGGGGUUUUGAAACCAGAUCGUCAAGGUGUUCAGGAUGUCUGCAAUCUGGUUGUCCAAUUUGGGGGUUUUGAAACACGCAGCCGGAAUUAACAGUUCAUGACUCAUUUCGCCGUUGCCAAAGUCGCUCAAGAAUCAAAUCUUCAAUUGAGAUAUGCUGUGUUUUCAAGGACUAUUCUUCUGUCCCGAAGUAGCUUCAUUGCUCCUUCAUAAUUUCUGCAUUUAUCACAUCGGUCCACCUGGCUGUGAACGUGCUAUUUUGUAUUUACGGUUUAAUUAUGACCACAUAAUAUUCAAUAAUCAAGUUCUGAUAUUCAUAUGUUUUGAAUGUUUGAGAGAUCAUGUUUAUUAUGGAGGAUAUUAACUUUUAUGUGCCCCUUUAAAAUUAAUAAUCAAAUAAUCACAUGUUUUGAGUGUUUGACAAAUUAAAAUAAAAAAAUUUAAAAUUAUAUUAUUAACGUAAAAAUUCUCUUCUGGGAUUUGUACAAGAGUCGUUGCAGCUAGGAGCAGCAGCCAUAUGUCCCGAUGAUCCGGUUCUGUCUGUGGAGGAUCUUUGUGAUCAGAUUCUCGAGGUCCUUAACUAUUUUAGGCUCGGUGCAGUGAUGUGCAUGGGGGCAAUGGCGGGUGCCUACAUUCUUACGCUCUUUGAGACAAAGCAUAGAACGAUAUGAUGCAUAUAUGAAUUCAGUGUGAAGAUGGGGAAUAAGAGAAUUAUUGUUGAUAGCAUCAAUCACUCACAUAAAUGAGACAUGCCCACUGGUGAUAUAUUGGUUUAGCUAAAUUAUAUAAUAUCUUGCUAAUUGUUAAUGUGUUAAAAUCUUUUGUACAAAAAGGAUGUUCUUUUAUCUUAACUUUAGUUUUGGUAUGUUUUGUUCAGUACGUUCGUGGACUGGCAGCAUGAGGAGUUCUUUUUCAUCAUCCAGAACUAAUUCUUUAAGAUACCAUGUUCAUUCUGCUUACUGUACGCAUAACUUAAGGUUAAAACUUGUGAUUACGUCAGUUAUGUGUGUUAAUAGUUAUCAGUGUAACGGGUUGAUGGCAAGUUAUUGGGUCUUACGGCUUACAUGCUCAAGGCCGAAUUGGGGCCAAAUGUCUUAGUGUUGUAGGGAAUAAAGUUUUUGAUGAUUAUAUUUGUAAUCCUUUGGAUUUUAGGAACAUGGGCAGGAGAGAGCAUACGUUAGUGAGAGCGUAUUCAUGUUUGUCCUUCUGUCUAUCCUCUUGGUAAUUAUGUGUUCUCUUUAAUGUGUUGCGAAUUUUGAUUAGUUAUGGUAACUUAUUUUGGUGUUGCUUUACUCGCUAUGUUAUUUUGGAUUUAUGGUUGUUAUGUAAAAAUAUUAGACUCAUCUGGUGUUUUGUACCAUGACUUUUUUUCUGUUACAGUGGACAUUCCAUCCUUUCAUAUUUAAGAGUAAAAAGAUUUACACAGUUCUAAUAUGGUGAAGGGUCCUCGCGUUUUUAGUUGUAUGUGUAUGAAAAUUGUGAGAGAAAAUGUGUAGCUUUUACUAAUUUGUUAUAACCAGGUUUGAUUUUCAGUUUGGGCAACUAGAAAAGCCGCAUGACGAGGACGACCGGCUAAAUGAUGCUAACGACUCAACGAUGCUAGCGGCGUGAAUCCUCUACGACUUUCGAAGAUUUCCAUCAAUAAGUAAAAGCCAUCAAUGAUGGCAUGUGUAGAAAUGAAAGUUUACAUUGGUGAAAAAUAUCAAUGACUAAUUGAUGUUUAAUCUUGAGGAUUUGCUGACCUCCAAAAAUCCACAAUUGGAAAAAGAGAAACCUAAGGCGACUUCAAGUGCUAAAAAAACACCAAAACCACCACGAUCCCAGGCGCACAAAGCUUUUUAACUGGAUGUUGCAGACCCGUAGCUGAUUAGGGAGCUUGCCAUGAUUAAGAGGGCGAGAAUGGAGCGUAUGAAAGGCUACCUCAUCCUCAUCAUCGCAUAUUCAAAGAAGGGAUGUCAAGAUUGAUAGGAAGGGGAAACACCUUUUGAACAAUUGCCUACUAGGAAACAACCGCAACUGGAAGCCGUAGUUCAAAAAGCCACGUCGCCUAGGACAAUGUCUAGCCCCCGCCGCAUCGCGGCGGGUUACAUUUCUAGUUGUUAUUAAAUUAGCACAUAUAAUUAUGCUAACUGAGGGUAUAUGGGAAGCAAAAAAAACGCCAUUAUGCAGAAACUAGACAAAUCAAAACACAUAAAAAAAGAUCUAGCAAAGGUUGAAUCUUGUUGGUGAAUACGAAUCUAACAUUUAGACUAUUUUUUGGAAUAA
Helianthus annuus (common sunflower) is the source of this 2419-nucleotide long non-coding RNA. RefSeq lists it as uncharacterized. The record is from RefSeq and is a predicted model, not a curated record. The transcript is spliced from 6 exons. Lineage: Eukaryota; Viridiplantae; Streptophyta; Magnoliopsida; Asterales; Asteraceae.